GACGAACGCUGGCGGCGUGCUUAACACAUGCAAGUCGAACGGAAAGGCCCUGCUUUUGUGGGGUGCUCGAGUGGCGAAAGGGUGAGUAACACGUGAGUAACCUGUCCUUGACUUUGGGAUAACUUCAGGAAACUGGGGUUAAUACCGGAUAGGAGCUCCUGCUGCAUGGUGGGGGAUGGAAAGUUUCGGCGGUUGGGGAUGGACUCGCGGCUUAUCAGCGUGUUGGUGGGGUAGUGGCUUACCAAGGCUUUGACGGGUAGCCGGCCUGAGAGGGUGACCGGCCACAUUGGGACUGAGAUACGGCCCAGACUCCUACGGGAGGCAGCAGUGGGGAAUAUUGCACAAUGGGCUGAAGCCUGAUGCAGCAACUCCGCGUGCGGGAUGACGGCCUUCGGGUUGUAAACCGCGUUCGCCUGUGACGAAGCGUGAGUGACGGUAAUGGGUAAAGAAGCACCGGCUAACUACGUG
Molecule: ribosomal RNA, 468 nt
Filed under: uncultured bacterium
Lineage: Bacteria
Description: partial 16S ribosomal RNA
Rfam family: Bacterial small subunit ribosomal RNA
Source: RNAcentral